UACGUAGGGUGCGAGCGUUAAUCGGAAUUACUGGGCGUAAAGCGUGCGCAGGCGGUUCGUUGUGUCGGCGGUGAAAGCCCCGGGCUCAACCUGGGAAUGGCCGUUGAAACUGGCGAACUGGAGUGUGGCAGAGGGGGGUGGAAUUCCACGUGUAGCAGUGAAAUGCGUAGAGAUGUGGAGGAACACCGAUGGCGAAGGCAGCCCCCUGGGCCAAAACUGACGCUCAGGCACGAAAGCGUGGGGAGCAAACAGG
Molecule: ribosomal RNA, 253 nt
Filed under: uncultured bacterium
Lineage: Bacteria
Description: partial 16S ribosomal RNA
Rfam family: Bacterial small subunit ribosomal RNA
Source: RNAcentral